CGUCUCCCAGGAUUCUCGGGCCUAUAGGGGAGUGACAGAACUCUCGCGAGUGUGCAGGUCUUCUUCCGGCUGGCUCUUGCUGCCCCAGGCUGUUUGCGCCUCUCUAGCAGCUUGUGGUUUCCAUCCCCUGCGGAACGGUGAGUGGAGGAUCGUCGAGGGGCAGCGAGCGUGGCCAGGGCGUUUGACGCCGCAGGCUGGGAGCUGCCUGUCUGAACGCGGAGGCCCAGGGGGGCAAGAAUCCAGGCAAUUCUGCUUCUAGCCUCUAGCUAGCUGAUCUAGUGGCUAAGAUUCCUGGUUUUCACCCAGGCUGCCCAGGUUCAAUUCCUGAGCAGAGACUUAAGAGCUCGCUUCAAGCCUUGGUUCACUGAUGUCUCUCUGAGAUCAGGGUCACAUCUACAUUGUGAAGUUCGUUUCUUAAUGCAGAAAGCAGCCCUAUUCGCCGCCUAAAAAGGUAAUGCAGAUUCCUCCAGUAAAGGAACAUGUAAGUAUGCACUGAAUUCUUGCACUUGGCAAACCACAAAGUUACCUUAAGUACUUAAUACAAAGGAAAAGUCUUGAGCCUGAGUCUAUUUUCACUGAAGCAAAAGCACAUCAAGAAGAGGGGGAGGAGAGGGGAGGCAGAGGAGAUUUGGGAAGAAAAUACCUUGUAGGGGACUGAAUCAUCACAGGCCAUUGUGAAAGAUGUUAGAAAAUAAAAAGUGUUGGCAGGGAUGUGGAGAAAUUGGAACCUGGUGCAUCCCUGGUGGGAAUGUAAAAUGGUAUCAUUGCUGUGGAGAACAGUCUGACUGCUCCUCCAAAAAUUACAGAGUUACCAGAUGAUCCAGCAAUUUUGCUUCUUGGGUAUAGAUACCCAAAAGAAUUGAAAGCAGGGACUCAAACAGAUACUUGUACACCCAUGUUCAUAGCAACAAUAUUCCCAACAGCCAAAAGGUGACAACCCAAAUGUCCAUCUAGAGAUGACAUAUAUAUAUAUGCCACAUUUUGUAUAUGUAUGUUUUAUAUAUAUAUAUAUGCAUAACAUUGCAUUUAUACACACACACACACACACACACACACACACCACACACUGGAUUAUUCAGCCUUAAAAAGGAAUGAAUAAUGACUGCUACAACAUGGGUGAGCCUUGAAAACGUAAGUGAAAUAAGCCAGGUACAACGACAUGAUUCCACUCUUAGGAGGUAGUGUAGUUAAAUUCAGAGACUCUUAGGGAUUACCAGGGGCUAGGGAGAGGAGAGAAUGGGGAGGUACUAUAUAAUAGGUACAGAAUUUGUUUGAGAUGAUGGAAAUAUUCUGGAAAUAAUAGUUGCACAACUUUGUGCGUGUAAUUAACACCACUGAAUUGUACACUCAUAAUGGCUAAAAGAUUUAUGUAAUGCAUGUUUCUCUACCAUAAAAACGAAAAGCAAAGAGCUCAACAGAUACAAUCUAAGAUCACAACCAAUCACUGGAAAACCUCGUUUUAAUUUUAAUUCCAGCAUCUACAUUGGACAAUUAGCAUUUGUAAAAACCUUUUCAUGCUUUGAGAACUAAAUGAAAAGACACUCAUGUUGAAAGCUUACCAGAUGCUACUUUUCAGUGUAUGUGCAUUUGUUUUAAACUGAAUGCACUAAGUAGCAUUUGCAGGAUGAACAUGGAUAACAAUACUUGAGGGUUAGAAUUCCUCGCUAUCCAACCACACAUUGUAUUAUACAGGCUGGCGACAACAGCAUCCAUUCUCAUUAGGUAUUUGGAAAUUAUUUUAGUGUCUUGCAUUUGGCCUCACUAUCAAUCACCAUCAAUAGAAAAGUUAUUUCAAACUAGCUCAUUCUAAAUAGACAACUAAGUGGUAGCUUCCAUGAUGUCUUAGGUUCUUUGCGGGGUGGAAGAGCAGGGUAAAUGCUCCCUGCACAUAAUAUACUUAACAUAUUUCAAGUAUCAUUUUACUCUUCAUAUGACAAGUGAGAAAAUGCUGAUUUAUUUAUUUCCUCCCCCUUUGUAGGUGGGAAAUAGAAGGCAUUUGAGCUGAGAUAUUACGACGCCAAAACCUUUAUCAGCUUCUCCAAAUAUUAUUUGCACUCUUCCACUUUAUUUAUUUUUCUUUUUAGGGCCGCACGUGUAGCAUAUGAAAAGUGUCCAGGCUAGGGGUCGAAUUGGAGCUGCUGCUGCCAGCCUACACCACAGCCAUAGCACCUCGGGAUCCGAGCCAAGUCUGCCCCCUACACCACAGCUCAUGCAACGCCAGAUCCUUAACCCACUGAGUGAGGCCAGGGAUUGAACCCUUAUCCUCAGAGAGACAGCAUCAGGAUCUUAGCCCAUUUAGCCACAAAGGGAAUGCCUCUGUUUUAAUUUUGACUAAGUUUUCAUGUGUGGCUUGUGAAAUCAGAGGAGUGAUUGUUGCCAGGGAUGUUAUAACGUUUCAGCUGGCCUAACAGUGCUUUCAAGGUCACCAGCUAACUUUGUAAGUAGAAUUUUUUUUUUUACCAUAAAAAUGAGUGAUGGUUAUUUAGAGUAAAAAGUUUAUACUAAAUCUUGUGUGAUGUUAAAUAAAUCUGCAAGAUACUUGAAAUGUUAAAGGUUUAUGGUGAAGAAGUAAUAUCAAGAGCAAGAGUUUGGGGCUGGCAAUAAAAGGUUUAAAGAAGGGAGUUCCUGUUGUGGCUCAGCUGGUUACAAACCCAACUGGGAUCCAUGAAGAAGCAGGUUCAAUCCCUGGCCUCGCUUAGUGGGUUAAGGAUCCGGCGUUUGCUGUAAGCUGUGGUGUGUAAGUCUCAAGACAGGGCUCAGAUCCCUAGAUGCUGAAGCAUAGGCUGGCAGCUGCAGCUCCAGCUCUGAUUUGACCUCUAGCCUAGGGAUCCUGGAGACUUCCAUGUGCCUGGAGUGUGGCCCUAAGAAGCAAAAAAAAAAAAAAAAAAAAAAAAAAAAAAGUUUAAAGAAGGCAGAGCUGACCCCCACAAUGAUGCAAGAAGUGGCUUUCUAGUCACCCACAGGACAUAUGACAAUGUGGAGGGGGUCAGGAAUUUGGUUUGCUCAGAUAGCCAAUUUAACUGUAAAAAAAUAGCUGAAAAGCUAAAUUUAGACAGUCAAGACUCAUUCUGAAAGAAAGCUUGCUCCGGAGGGAAAAAAAUCCUAGCUGUUGUGGUUGAUGAUCCUGUAGAGAGAGGCCAAACCAAAACAGAGUUUCACUGGAACCACCACUUGGGUGGAUAUUCAGGGCAGUCCUACAAUUUUUUUCAUUGGUCUUGGAGGAACAAAAAUGAGCUGAGCUUCCUCAUUUUUCAUCAGCUCUAUAGGUACAAUGAUUUAAGCAGAGUGAAACCUUUAGAGUCGAGUGUGACAAAGUAGAGAGCAUGGGGCUAGUUUAUUGGGAGGAUCCUAGCAAAUCGUUAGCUCCGAAUGAGCAGCUAAACAUGGGAGCAUUUCUCUUAUUUCAAGCUGAGCUCAUUUGAGUAACAAGUAGGUUACCUGCAGGCUGGGAGUUACACUGUCAACAGGGAGCUAGAGCUCAAUGUUACUCUUUGUUUUUUUUCUUACUGCCAUGGCAGGUGGAAGUUCCUGGGCCAGGAUCAAAACCAAGCCACUACAAGGACAACUCCGGAUCCUUAACCUGCUGCAUCAUAAGAGAUCAGUGUUAUGUAUUGUUAUACAGAAUAGAUGAAAAUGGUUUCACUUUAAACGUUUAAAGAAAAUAAUGCAAGGAAAAGUAUUUCAGAUAUGUUUUUGUGUUAACAUUAGCAUUUUAGUUAAGGAGCUAGUUAAAUCAUGUUCCUCCUCAUAAGAAUAUUGAGUCAACAAGAGUUUAUUUAGGAACUUGGAUCUUUGCUGCCCCAGUUUCCUUACCAGUCUCUAGUAAGAUGCUCUAAUCAGUCAAUAUCUUUAUUGUUGCUGCCCAGAUAAACCAGCAUUACAGACUAUAGAUGACUUAAUCCAGGGCCUUGUGACAGUGACCUCAGAGAACUAGCAUUGCUGCAGAGGUGCAGAUUUGAUCACUGGCCUGGAGGGUGGAUUCACUCCCUUGGUUUACAAGGCAAAAACUUAGAAUAAUUUUUCAUGUUUUCUUAGUUCCUGUUACUGAAUUUUUACAACUUGCAUUUAAGAUGGUGUUUUGUACUAUGUAAUAAAGUAUAUACGUACUUGACAUCCUAAUAAACCAUACAUUGUUUUGAUAA
Sus scrofa (pig) is the source of this 4142-nucleotide non-coding RNA. The record is from RefSeq and is a predicted model, not a curated record. Lineage: Eukaryota; Metazoa; Chordata; Mammalia; Artiodactyla; Suidae.